GUCCACGCCCUAACGAUGAUUACUCGAUGUGUGCGAUACACUGUACGCGUCUGAGCGAAAGCAUUAAGUAAUCCACCUGGGAAGUACGACCGCAAGGUUGAACUCAAAGGAAUUGACGGGGCCCGCACAAGCGGAGGAGCAUGUGGUUUAAUUCGAUGAUACGCGAGGAACCUUACCAGGGCUUGAAAGUUAGUGAAUGAUGUGGAAACAUGUCAGCCAGCAAUGGCACGAAACUAGGUGCUGCAUGGCUGUCGU
RNAcentral lists this ribosomal RNA (255 nucleotides) under uncultured bacterium. Its description in RNAcentral is "partial 16S ribosomal RNA". It matches the Rfam family "Bacterial small subunit ribosomal RNA", at positions 793 to 1055 of the family's 1533-position model. The record is from RNAcentral.